Molecule: ribosomal RNA, 612 nt
Filed under: Streptococcus mutans
Lineage: Bacteria; Bacillati; Bacillota; Bacilli; Lactobacillales; Streptococcaceae
Description: bacterial SSU rRNA
Rfam family: Bacterial small subunit ribosomal RNA
Source: RNAcentral
AAAGUCUGACCGAGCAACGCCGCGUGAGUGAAGAAGGUUUUCGGAUCGUAAAGCUCUGUUGUAAGUCAAGAACGUGUGUGAGAGUGGAAAGUUCACGCAGUGACGGUAGCUUACCAGAAAGGGACGGCUAACUACGUGCCAGCAGCCGCGGUAAUACGUAGGUCCCGAGCGUUGUCCGGAUUUAUUGGGCGUAAAGGGAGCGCAGGCGGUCAGGAAAGUCUGGAGUAAAAGGCUAUGGCUCAACCAUAGUGUGCUCUGGAAACUGUCUGACUUGAGUGCAGAAGGGGAGAGUGGAAUUCCAUGUGUAGCGGUGAAAUGCGUAGAUAUAUGGAGGAACACCAGUGGCGAAAGCGGCUCUCUGGUCUGUCACUGACGCUGAGGCUCGAAAGCGUGGGUAGCGAACAGGAUUAGAUACCCUGGUAGUCCACGCCGUAAACGAUGAGUGCUAGGUGUUAGGCCCUUUCCGGGGCUUAGUGCCGGAGCUAACGCAAUAAGCACUCCGCCUGGGGAGUACGACCGCAAGGUUGAAACUCAAAGGAAUUGACGGGGGCCCGCACAAGCGGUGGAGCAUGUGGUUUAAUUCGAAGCAACGCGAAGAACCUUACCAGGUCU